RNAcentral lists this ribosomal RNA (460 nucleotides) under uncultured bacterium. RNAcentral describes it as "partial 16S ribosomal RNA". It matches the Rfam family "Bacterial small subunit ribosomal RNA", at positions 338 to 795 of the family's 1533-position model. The record is from RNAcentral.
CCUACGGGAGGCAGCAGUGAGGAAUAUUGGUCAAUGGGCGGAAGCCUGAACCAGCCAAGUCGCGGGAGGGAUGAAGGUGCUAUGGAUCGUAAACCUCUUUUAUAAGGGAAUAAAGUGUGGGACGUGUCCUGUUUUGUAUGUACCUUAUGAAUAAGGAUCGGCUAACUCCGUGCCAGCAGCCGCGGUAAUACGGAGGGUCCGAGCGUUAUCCGGAUUUAUUGGGUUUAAAGGGUGCGUAGGCGGCCUUUUAAGUCAGCGGUGAAAGUCUGUGGCUCAACCAUAGAAUUGCCGUUGAAACUGGGAGGCUUGAGUAUGUUUGAGGCAGGCGGAAUGCGUGGUGUAGCGGUGAAAUGCUUAGAUAUCACGCAGAACCCCGAUUGCGAAGGCAGCCUGCCAGGCCAUGACUGACGCUGAUGCACGAAAGCGUGGGGAUCAAACAGGAUUAGAUACCCCUGUAGUC